Molecule: long non-coding RNA, 442 nt
Filed under: Rattus norvegicus (Norway rat)
Lineage: Eukaryota; Metazoa; Chordata; Mammalia; Rodentia; Muridae
Description: long non-coding RNA NONRATT028261
Source: RNAcentral
AAGAGAAUGUCAAAAGGCGGUGUCAGGGCACUGUGGGCCUGGCAGAAGCGACCCAGUCAAAGAAAACACCCCCCAGAGUCAGCCACCGCGGAGAGGCAGCCAGGCUCCUGCAGACCAAACUGGCUGCUGUGAUUUCAGGCCAGCCUCCAUCCCCAGCGGAGCCGGUUCCUCCCAGCAUCCCAGCAUCCCUUCAGCCUCGGGGCAGACCCGGCUGCAGUCCAGGGGCCGAGCGCGGGGACCCCGCGGGAGGACCCUUCGCAUCUCGUCCCCCGCAAGCGCCGCCCGGACCCCGACCGUGGGGAGCGCCUCACUGCCGGACGCGGACGCGCCGUACCUUCCGCAGCACUUUCCGGCAGUUGGUGCAGAGCAGGUAGUUGGCCGAGGCCGACGCGCUGCUGCCACCGCGGUUCAUCGCGCCGAAGCCGGGCUGUCACCGCGGCCG